Molecule: ribosomal RNA, 825 nt
Filed under: uncultured organism
Description: SSU rRNA
Rfam family: Eukaryotic small subunit ribosomal RNA
Source: RNAcentral
CGGAGAGGGAGCAUGAGAAACUGCUACCACAUCCAAGGAAGGCAGCAGGCGCGCAAAUUACCCAAUCCCAACACGGGGAGGUAGUGACAAUAUGUAACAAUAUACGGCCUUAUACGUCGUAUAAUUGGAAUGAGUACAAUUUAAAUCCCUUAACGAGGAACAAUUGGAGGGCAAGUCUGGUGCCAGCAGCCGCGGUAAUUCCAGCUCCAAUAGCGUAUAUUAAAGUUGUUGCAGUUAAAAAGCUCGUAGUUGGACCUUGGACCUGGACAGGCGGUCCGCCUCACGGCGAGUACUGUCUUGCUGGGUCUUUCCUCUUGGUGAUCUGUUGUUUCGGCAGCAGGGAACCAGGACCUUUACUUUGAAAAAAUUAGAGUGUUCAAAGCAGGCUCGACGCCGGAAUAUAUUAGCAUGGAAUAAUAAAAUAGGACGUGCGGUUCUAUUUUGUUGGUUUUUGGAAUCGCCGUAAUGAUUAAUAGGGACAGUCGGGGGCAUUAGUACUCACAUGCUAGAGGUGAAAUUCUUGGAUUUUGUGAAGACUAACUUCUGCGAAAGCAUUUGCCAAGGAUGUUUUCGUUAAUCAAGAACGAAAGUUGGGGGCUCGAAGACGAUCAGAUACCGUCCUAGUCUCAACCAUAAACGAUGCCGACCAGGGAUCAGCGGAUGUUGCUUUUAGGACUCCGCUGGCACCUUAUGAGAAAUCAAAGUUUUUGGGUUCCGGGGGGAGUAUGGUCGCAAGGCUGAAACUUAAAGGAAUUGACGGAAGGGCACCACCAGGAGUGGAGCCUGCGGCUUAAUUUGACUCAACACGGGGAAACUAACCAGGUC